Molecule: long non-coding RNA, 1821 nt
Organism: Oncorhynchus tshawytscha (Chinook salmon)
Lineage: Eukaryota; Metazoa; Chordata; Actinopteri; Salmoniformes; Salmonidae
Source: Ensembl
AACAUUUGCUAACUAACUGGGAGUCUCCUGAGUGAAAGCAUCUGAAGUUCUUCAGAGGACCUGAGCCCUAGGACCAUGCGUCAGGACUACCUUGCACGAUGACUCCUUGCUGUCCCCAGUCCACCUGGCCUUGCCGCUGUUCCAGUUUCAACUGUUCUGCCUGCGGCUAUGGAACCCUAAACUGUUCAUUUUUACUCUUGAGGUGCUGUCCUGUUGCACCCUCUACAACCACUGUGAUCUCCACCCGGCACAGCCAGAAGAGGACUGGCCACCCCUCAUAGCCUGGUUCCUCUCUAGAUUUUUAUUUAUUUUCUGAGUGCAGUCUCAGAUUAUUGCAUGGUUUGCUUUUUCUGUAAAGUAUUUUUGAUGGUAUGGUUGCAUUAAGGAGACGUAUAUCAAUAAUUCCAUGCGUAUAACUUGUAUUUUCAUCAACAUUUAUGAUGAGUAUUUCUGUUGAAUUAUUGUGGCUAUGCAAAAUCACUGGAUGUUUUUGGAACUAGUGAACGUAACGUGCCAAUGUAAACUUAGAUGUUUCGAUAUAAAUAUGAACUUUAUCAAACAAAACAGAACAAUGCUUGAUUUGUUUGAUAAUGUCCAUUAUUUAUAUCCAAGUAGCUACUUUUGUUAGCCCGUUUAGUACACAAAUCCAGAAGCUCGUGCAGGUCCAUCCGAAUGUCGUACGGAAACUUCAAAAAGUUAUAUUACAGGUCAAAGAAACUUGUCAAACUAAGUACAGAAUCAAUCUUUAGGGUGUUGUUAUCAUAAAUCUUCAAUAAAGAAGAUACAAUUCCUUUGUGUGUAGAGAAGCCAGGGAACGCAGGUUGCUAUCAUGUGAAUUGCGCGUGACCAGCCCUUGGCUCUCUGCCAGACACCUGGUUCAUUCAACUCCCAUUCAGCCCCACAACACAGUAGAAGUGUUGUCCUCAAGUUUCUAAAGAUGGUUGAUAUCUAGUGGAAGCCCUAGGAAGUGCAACUUCAUCCAUAUCCCACUAUGAAUUCAAUAGGGGCUGGGUUGAAAAUCGACCAACCUCAGAUUUCUCACUUCCUGUUUGGAUUUCUUCUCAGGUUUUUGCCUGCCAUGAGUUAUGUUAUACUCACAGACAUCAUUUAAACAGUUUUAGAAAUUGCAGGGUGUUAUAUAUACUACUAAUAAUAUGCAUAUAUUAGCAACUGGGACUGAGAGGCAGGCUGUUUACUCUGGGCAUCUUUCUUCCAAGCUACUCAAUACUGCCCCUGCAGCCAUAAGAAGUUAAAGGAUAGCUGUAGAUGAUGAGUUAUUUUUCCUAUUGUCAUUAUUUUAGUUUUCUCCACGUACAUUCUAUAUCCUGAGAUUUAAGAGUAUUCUAAAAAUAUUUUUAACAAGGCGGGCAUUGAGUUAUCAAUACUAGCCAGGUAUAUCAGGAGAUCAUCUGCAAAUAAGUUUAGUUUAUAUUCAUGUUUACCAGUAAUGAUACCUGUUAUGUUUGGGUCCUGUCUUGUUAUUUUUGCAAGCAGUGGUUCAAUUACCACUGCACACAGGAGAGGGGAGAGAAGACAUCCCUGUCUCAUGCUCCACUUUUUAAAAAUCAAUUUCAUCAGAUAAUGUAUUAUUUGUGUCUAUUUUUGCUUUAGGAUAUUUAUAUAAUAUUUUUAUGAAAUGUAAAAUUUCAAAUGGAAAGUUGAAUGCUUCCAAAGUUUUGAAUAGAAAAGACCACUCAAGAUGGUUGAAAGCCUUUUUGGCAUCAAUUGAUAUUUUAAAUCAACAUGUUUUUUGUGUAUUAUACUGGAACGUAUUAUUGUAUUUGUUUCUAAGUGUCUAUUUUUAAUAAACCAUGUUUGAUU